Molecule: ribosomal RNA, 762 nt
Filed under: Ulocladium sp. JA16
Lineage: Eukaryota; Fungi; Ascomycota; Dothideomycetes; Pleosporales; Pleosporaceae
Description: eukaryotic LSU rRNA
Rfam family: Eukaryotic large subunit ribosomal RNA
Source: RNAcentral
AGGGAUUGCCCUAGUAACGGCGAGUGAAGCGGCAACAGCUCAAAUUUGAAAUCUGGCUCUUUUAGAGUCCGAGUUGUAAUUUGCAGAGGGCGCUUUGGCUUUGGCAGCGGUCCAAGUUCCUUGGAACAGGACGUCACAGAGGGUGAGAAUCCCGUACGUGGUCGCUGGCUAUUGCCGUGUAAAGCCCCUUCGACGAGUCGAGUUGUUUGGGAAUGCAGCUCUAAAUGGGAGGUACAUUUCUUCUAAAGCUAAAUAUUGGCCAGAGACCGAUAGCGCACAAGUAGAGUGAUCGAAAGAUGAAAAGCACUUUGGAAAGAGAGUCAAACAGCACGUGAAAUUGUUAAAAGGGAAGCGCUUGCAGCCAGACUUGCUUGCAGUUGCUCAUCCGGGCUUUUGCCCGGUGCACUCUUCUGUAGGCAGGCCAGCAUCAGUUUGGGCGGUAGGAUAAAGGUCUCUGUCACGUACCUCCUUUCGGGGAGGCCUUAUAGGGGAGACGACAUACUACCAGCCUGGACUGAGGUCCGCGCAUCUGCUAGGAUGCUGGCGUAAUGGCUGUAAGCGGCCCGUCUUGAAACACGGACCAAGGAGUCUAACAUCUAUGCGAGUGUUUGGGUGUCAAGCCCGAGCGCGUAAUGAAAGUGAACGGAGGUGGGAACCCGCAAGGGUGCACCAUCGACCGAUCCUGAUGUCUUCGGAAGGAUUUGAGUAAGAGCAUGGCUGUUGGGACCCGAAAGAUGGUGAACUAUGCUUGAAUAGGGUGAA